Molecule: ribosomal RNA, 497 nt
Filed under: uncultured bacterium
Lineage: Bacteria
Description: partial 16S ribosomal RNA
Rfam family: Bacterial small subunit ribosomal RNA
Source: RNAcentral
GAUGAACGCUGGCGGCGUGCCUAAUACAUGCAAGUCGAGCGAACAGAUGAGGAGCUUGCUCCUCUGACGUUAGCGGCGGACGGGUGAGUAACACGUGGAUAACCUACCUAUAAGACUGGGAUAACUUCGGGAAACCGGAGCUAAUACCGGAUAAUAUAUUUAACCGCAUGGUUCAAUAGUGAAAGACGGUUUUGCUGUCACUUAUAGAUGGAUCCGCGCCGCAUUAGCUAGUUGGUAAGGUAACGGCUUACCAAGGCAACGAUGCGUAGCCGACCUGAGAGGGUGAUCGGACAAACUGGAACUGAGACAAGGUCCAGACUCCUAAGGGAGGCAGCAGUAGGGAAUCUUCCGCAAUGGGCGAAAGCUUGACGGAGCAACGCCGCGUGAGUGAUGAAGGUCUUCGGAUCGUAAAACUCUGUUAUUAGGGAAGAACAAAUGUGUAAGUAACUAUGCACGUCUUGACGGUACCUAAUCAGAAAGCCACGGCUAACUACGUG